RNAcentral lists this transfer RNA (72 nucleotides) under Camelus bactrianus (Bactrian camel). It matches the Rfam family "tRNA". From Rfam's summary of the family: Transfer RNA (tRNA) molecules are approximately 80 nucleotides in length. Their secondary structure includes four short double-helical elements and three loops (D, anti-codon, and T loops). The record is from Rfam by way of RNAcentral. RNAcentral also lists the same sequence under 1 other name. Lineage: Eukaryota; Metazoa; Chordata; Mammalia; Artiodactyla; Camelidae.
GGGAGUAUAGCUCAGUGGGAAAGCACGUGUUUAGCAUGCAUGAGGUCCUGGGUUCAAUCCCCAGCACCUCCA